Molecule: ribosomal RNA, 850 nt
Filed under: uncultured Solobacterium sp.
Lineage: Bacteria; Bacillati; Bacillota; Erysipelotrichia; Erysipelotrichales; Erysipelotrichaceae
Description: bacterial SSU rRNA
Rfam family: Bacterial small subunit ribosomal RNA
Source: RNAcentral
AGAGUUUGAUCAUGGCUCAGGAUAAACGCUGGCGGCGUGCCUAAUACAUGCAAGUCGAAGAAGGGAACCAGUUUACUGGUGAACUUAGUGGCGAACGGGUGAGUAAUACGUAAGCAACUGCCCACGGAGACCGGGAUAAUCCCUGGAAACGGGGACUAAGACCGGAUAGGCAGCGGAGGGCAUCCCACUGCUGUUAAAGAUGGAAAACACUGGUGGAUGGGCUUACGGUGCAUUAGUUGUUGGUGAGGUAACGGCCCACCAAGGCGAUGAUGCAUAGCCGGCCUGAGAGGGUGAAGGCCACAUUGGUACUGAGACACGGCCCAGACUCCUACGGGAGGCAGCAGUAGGGAAUUUCGGCAAUGGAGGAAACUCUGACCGAGCAACGCCGCGUGAGUGAAGAAGGUCUUCGGAUUUAAAGCUCUGUUGUAAGGGAAGAACGGUCUGUGGAGAACACAGGAGUGACGGUACCUUACAGAAAGCCACGGCUAACUACGUGCCAGCAGCCGCGGUAAUACGUAGGUGGCGAGCGUUUCCGGAAUUAUUGGGCGUAAAGGGUGCGCAGGCGGCCGAUUAAGUUUGCGGUGAAAGCGGGGGCUCAACCCCAUACAGCCACAGAUACUGGUCGGCUAGAGUACUGGAGAGGAAAGUGAAUUCCAUGUGUAGCGGUAAAAUGCGUAGAUAUAUGGAGGAACACCGGUGGCGAAGGCGCUUUCUAGCCAGAGACUGACGCUCAUGCACGAAAGCGUGGGGAGCAAAUAGGAUUAGAUCCCUAGUAGUCCACGCUGUAAACGAUGAAUGCUAAGUGUUGGGGAAACUCAGUGCUGCACUAACGCAAUAAGCAUUCCGCCUG